RNAcentral lists this ribosomal RNA (253 nucleotides) under uncultured bacterium. Its description in RNAcentral is "partial 16S ribosomal RNA". It matches the Rfam family "Bacterial small subunit ribosomal RNA", at positions 524 to 776 of the family's 1533-position model. The record is from RNAcentral.
UACGUAGGGUGCAAGCGUUGUCCGGAAUUAUUGGGCGUAAAGAGCUCGUAGGCGGUUUGUCGCGUCGAAUGUGAAAACCCGGGGCUCAACCCCGGGCCUGCAUUCGAUACGGGCAGACUAGAGUUCGGUAGGGGAGUCUGGAAUUCCUGGUGUAGCGGUGAAAUGCGCAGAUAUCAGGAGGAACACCGGUGGCGAAGGCGGGACUCUGGGCCGAUACUGACGCUGAGACGCGAAAGCGUGGGGAGCAAACAGG